This 483-nucleotide ribosomal RNA is filed under the name uncultured bacterium. RNAcentral's name for it is "partial 16S ribosomal RNA". It matches the Rfam family "Bacterial small subunit ribosomal RNA", at positions 30 to 507 of the family's 1533-position model. The record is from RNAcentral.
AUUGAACGCUGGCGGCAGGCCUAACACAUGCAAGUCGAGCGGAUGAAGGGAGCUUGCUCCUGGAUUCAGCGGCGGACGGGUGAGUAAUGCCUAGGAAUCUGCCUGGUAGUGGGGGAUAACGUCCGGAAACGGGCGCUAAUACCGCAUACGUCCUGAGGGAGAAAGUGGGGGAUCUUCGGACCUCACGCUAUCAGAUGAGCCUAGGUCGGAUUAGCUAGUUGGUGGGUAAAGGCCUACCAAGGCGACGAUCCGUAACUGGUCUGAGAGGAUGAUCAGUCACACUGGAACUGAGACACGGUCCAGACUCCUACGGGAGGCAGCAGUGGGGAAUAUUGGACAAUGGGCGAAAGCCUGAUCCAGCCAUGCCGCGUGUGUGAAGAAGGUCUUCGGAUUGUAAAGCACUUUAAGUUGGGAGGAAGGGCAGUAAGUUAAUACCUUGCUGUUUUGACGUUACCAACAGAAUAAGCAUCGGCUAACUUCGUG